CGCACGCACUGCUUCAACUGGCACUCCCCCACGUACGAGUACGCUCUGAGGCAUCUGUACGUGCUGGCCAACCUCUGUGAGAAACCCUACCCCAUCGACAGAAUAAAAUGGUCCAUGGACAAGGUGUGCCUCGGCUACUACUGAAACGCUGCCGUCUCGCUGCUUUUCCAAGCGUGAACACCGUCCUGGGAGCGCGCUGACCGGAGGUGGACGGAGCGAGGGGAGGCCGGGCCUUUCGGAGGGCCUGCUCGCCUUUCCCCACCCGUCUCCUGCAGCCCCCGGGAGGCUCUGACACCUCAGGUUUGGCCGGGUUGAAGGGCCUGUUGGCUUCCCAAGAGGCUUUUUGCCUGUUUGUGUUAAGAGGCAAGGAGUUCGCGUGGGCUGCUGUAGCCAGCGAGAGACUCUGGGCUGAGGAGCUGGAAGCUGGAGCCUCGAGUCUUCAGGAUGGAAAGCUACUUUUAGAAAAUAAUACAAGUUUUGAUUGCUUUUUAUGUUUUAUUCCUCAAUAAUGGACAAUAAAGGUUGUAACUGAAG
Molecule: long non-coding RNA, 534 nt
Organism: Myotis davidii
Lineage: Eukaryota; Metazoa; Chordata; Mammalia; Chiroptera; Vespertilionidae
Exons: 3
Source: RefSeq, a predicted model, not a curated record